GCGUGGACGAGGUCCGCCUUUU
This 22-nucleotide unclassified non-coding RNA is filed under the name Gallus gallus (chicken). RNAcentral describes it as "gga-nc-20 microRNA". Lineage: Eukaryota; Metazoa; Chordata; Aves; Galliformes; Phasianidae. The record is from RNAcentral.